CCUACGGGAGGCAGCAGUGGGGAAUAUUGCACAAUGGGCGAAAGCCUGAUGCAGCGACGCCGCGUGAGGGAUGAAGGCCUUCGGGUUGUAAACCUCUUUCAGCAGGGACGAAGCGGAAGUGACGGUACCUGCAGAAGAAGCACCGGCUAACUACGUGCCAGCAGCCGCGGUAAU
This 174-nucleotide ribosomal RNA is filed under the name uncultured bacterium. RNAcentral's name for it is "partial 16S ribosomal RNA". It matches the Rfam family "Bacterial small subunit ribosomal RNA", at positions 338 to 524 of the family's 1533-position model. The record is from RNAcentral.